CUUCCUCCUUGUUGCGGCAUGAAGCUUGUGGACAGAUUUUUGGGUGGAUUUAUGGUGUAGAAUGGAUGGGGAAUGAUAUGGAGGGGUUUAGGGUGAGUGUGGAAGAGUGUUUGAUGGUUGGAAGGUGGUGGAGAACUAGGCAAAGAGGGUGGAAGAAGGUGGAGUGGCUGUUAUGUUUUCUAGGCACUAGAAUGGUGUUUUUGGGGUGUUUUGCUUCCUAGGGUGUGUAUGGACGAAUUUCUGUUAUAAAAUGAUGAAUAUGGGGGAUUGUUCUUUGGCCAAGGGGUGUAAACAUGUAUUUAUAGGCCCCAAAAACCUUAGAAAAUCAGGUUAGGUUAAGGAUGAAAUGCAUGGUAAUUUGUGUGUGUGGUGUGCAAUGGUCCAAGGGUGAAAAUGAAGUGAUGAUGCAAAGUGUGAAGGGUAAAAUGGAGUGGUCUUGAAGCUAGGGAGCAUGAAUGAUUGUGUACAUUGCAUAGAGAUGGAAAGGGAGGUGAAAAUGUGUCAAUAAAUGGGUCAAAGGUGCAGCAACAUGUGGUACACAAGGCAUGGGAUUCCAAAUGUGAAUGAUGGAGCAUCAAUUGGUGCAUGUAAUGGAUGUAAAUGUUGUCUAAAAUCUAAUGAGUGAAGGGAACAAGAGGUAUCAAGCAAUUGAGUGUAAUAAUUAAAUGAAUUGAAGCAUGAAAUUAGAAAUUAUGUAGGGGACAAGAGUGAUCAAGCAUGGCAUGGAAUCCAAAGGGAAUUCUAUGUGGUUUGCAUGGCAAGGAAUGCAAGUUGGGGUGACAGAUUUUUUUGGGCUAUUUUCUUCAUCUUUUGGACCAUAAUUCUUCAUAUUCUUGGCCUCUUUAGUUCUCAAAUUCGUCCAUCCACUUGGCCCAUGCAUUUGCUAUCCAUUCCAAGCCCGAAACAUGCUCCAAAGGCCUCCAAAAUGCAUAUUCUUGCAUACUUUGUACUUAGAGUCUGAAAACACACGAAAAUGACUUUUAAACAUUAAAAUAACUAAGGAAACACGACAUAAAUGCACAAGAACAAGCCAACUAAGUCGCAUAAAUAUGCUCCUAUCAAAUUCCCCCACACUUAGCUUUUGCUAGUCCUCGAGCAAAACAAAGAGAUAAAACGAAACAAAACAAAUAAAACACAACCUAAACCUUCCAACAUUUGCCUCAGGGAUUUCCAAUGCACAUGACAUGUUAAAAAUCAUUAUCCCCACAGAUUUGAGUCAUCUUUACACUUAAGCACAUACUUAAUCAUAGUCACCACUUACUAGUUCACAAUUAAUCAAUUAAAACAAUGUUUUUGAUGUAGUAACAUGCCUUAGAGAAAUCACUCAAUUCCUUACAAGACAUGCACUCAAUUUUCACUCAGAUUUUCUAACUACACACCCUAUACUAGUUAUAUGUGAGAAGAUUGAUGUAGAUAUGAAAACGAACGCUCACAUAUAUGUAUCACAAAGAAAGCAAUUUCUGGAGUUAAUAAGCAUGUUUAGAUAUGAUCUCAUGAAUGGAAUGCUACUACUUAGAUGCGAGAACCAGUGACACCAUAUGCUCAUACCAAAUUCAAACUCCACAUAUUGAAACGCAUGACACUCAAGAUGAAGUUAAGGGUUGUAACGGGGCUUGGGGUGAUGGCUAACAAAUGAAGGAUAAGGAUAACAAUCGUUCUUAAAGCAAUAGCAAGUAAAGUAAUGAAAUUGAAACUUAGAAUUCACUUAGAUUGCAGAAAUCAGCUUUUAGACACGAAGGGAAAAUUCAAGCAAUAAUUAGGGCCGAAUUCUAUGUUUUGGACCCUUUCUUCAACAAGCAGCACUUUAAAACUUUUUUUUUUUUUUUUUUUUUUUUUUUUCAACUCUUCUUUUCUUUUCAACAAGCAUAAUAACUCACACUUCCCCCACACUUGUUUUCUGCCAUACAUUAAUCAAAAGAAAUUCAAUUUGAAUCAUGUUUUACUAUGCUUCAAGAACAAGGGUAUGGAUGGUCCUAAACUAGGCUAGGUAAGGAUAAUGUGGUUUAACAAAGAAUGUAGGCUAUCAAGGCUCCAUGGGGUUAACUUAAACAUAUAACGAUAUGGGAUACAUGGCAGUUUGGCUUUGGUGGUGGUAACUACACAACUUCAUCUUGAAUAUGUUUUAUGCAAAUCAAUAGCAUGCUUUGAAUGAAAUAGGCAUGAGUUCUAGCAUUUGGAACUAAAUGAUGAAACGCCUUCUAAGUAAUAGCCAAGCAAAGAAUAAUGAGAUCAUGCAACGACUUUAGAAAACAAGAAUGCACGGAUUUUAACUCUCCAAAUAAACGUUUAAGCUCAAGUCUCACAAGGUUGUAGCGUUAGUUUGAGUUCUUUCCUUCAAGCAUGUUACAAAAACUAAUUUUUUUUCUUUUAUGAUUACAUGUGAUUUCAUAAGUUAUAACCACAACCACGCAUAAAUAAAGAGUAAAUCAAACUUUCAUCCAUGUUUAUAACUCUCUUUAACAGUCAUGCAAUUACAAACCGAAUCCUCAUCAUUGUGUUGGAAGGUACCCUAAGACACAAAUAAGCGCACAAAAACAACUCUUUUUUUGGAUUUUCAAAAACAAUUUUUCAAAUUUUUAUGAAUUUUUGGAUUUUUAUGUCAAAACACACUGAAACACUCCAAAACAGCUUAAAAAAAUACUUAAAACAACAAAGAACAACACUAGAAGUAAUGGGUGAGAAAUUUCUACGAAUUUCAUGCAAAACAAUGGUUACCCCCCCACACUUAAAUCAAACAUUGUCCUCAAUGUUUCAAGCAUAUACUCACACCAAAAACAAGCAAAUAAUAAACGACAAAUAAACAUGACAAAUAUGGCAAAGUAAAAACCAGACAGAGUAGAGUUUAAGAACGCAAAUCUGGUUUUGGAGAUAGUUGAUCUUGUUGACUUUCCACAGCUUUGAUCUUGAACUGGAUUGGAAUUGUACGACGAAGCUUUUCUCUUUGGCGAUGUUGCAAUUCCUUAUUUGUUCUCCAAGCAGAUGUGGCAGCUUCUCUAGUUCUUCAGCUCGGACUCCUUGUGCUGGGUUGAUUGUACGAGCUGCAUUCUUCUCUGCUUGUUUCUUCUGUACGUUGUCUCCACAUGCUGCUGGUAUCAUUUUCGCUUGCCUUAUCUGUUCUUCAGGUAGAUGUGGCAGCUUCUUUGGAAGUACAUCAGCAGUGGAAGACGAGUACUCGAGAGCAAUUUCUCCAUGUCCUGCAGGUUAGAACAAAGACAAGGAAAAGGACAUGGAGAAUGCAUGAUAUGAGAUACUCUUGCUUUCAACCUUUAUGAUAUGAAAUACUUUUGCUCUGGAUGGGUUGUUUGCAGGGGUAUCCCAGGGAAUGAGGAAUACAAUGUGACUCGAGAGGGUUCUUUGGGAAUGCAUUCUCGGAGAUGAAGAAGUGCUGAGAGGGUGUGCCUUUGCUGUGGAAGGCGAAGGUAAAUACUUAUAGGACUUUUCUUCACAACCGGAACUAUUCCCUCACUCAUUGUCGGCAGCCGGUGGAUGAAUGAAUAGCACAAAUUACGCGCUUUCUGACAAAGCUGCCCGUAAUUUCCGCAAAGCUGAUUCCUCAUUGAUAUCUGGAAUCGGCGCUUCGAGCUCUGAGCAUCGUCGAUUGUAGAGGUAGCAUGUGACACGUGCGGAUAAAUCUGGAAAAGAAGAUUUGCCCGUGGGUUGAAGCCCAGCUUUUGAGAAAGCUAGCGUGUCUUUGACUGUUGAAUUUCCCUCUUCGAUUUCUGAAUUGGUGCUUCGACAAACUGCCCGAGAAUUUCGCAAAGCAAUUUGCGUGUGACAAGUGACGACACGUCUGGACAAAUUGAUCUUUUGAAAUCCGGGGUUCGGCUUGUGGUUUCUGAGCAAGCCCAGCCUUUAAGAAAUGAAAUGCCUCUUUUGAGAAAAGAAUCCGGCUUUUGAGAAAGGAAACUCCUCUUUUGAGAAAAGAAUCAGGCGUUUGAGAACGGAGCCCCGACUCUUCGAUUUGCGAGAGGACGCCUCUUUAAUUUCUGAGGAGCGCCUCUUUGAUUUCUUCUUUUUAUAGAGGCGCUAAUUUUGUUCCACAACACACUUGAGCUCCCUCCUGUAAACACUCCCUUCUUGCACUUGUUUAAUCUUGAUCAGUCCUCCUCUCUUCUUUCUUCACCACCUUCAGAAAAUGUCUGGCCCUUCCGAUCGUCGUUUUGACUUGAACAUUGGUGAAGAGGCAGCUCCGCCUUCACCAGACAACAUAUGGCGCCCAUCAUUCAUAUCCCCUACUGGUCCUCUCACCGUUGGGGAUUCGGUGAUGAAAAAUGACAUGACCGCUGCAGUGGUGGCCCGGAACCUUGUCACCCCCAGAGAUAACAGACUGCUCGCUAGACGAUCUGAUGAAUUGGCGGUUAAGGAGUCUCUGGCUCUUAGCGUGCAGUGUGCCGGUUCCGUGUCCAACAUGGCCCAACGCCUAUUUGCCCGAACCCGUCACGUUGAAUCGUUGGUGGCUGAAAUACAGAGUCUCAAAGAGGAGAUUAAAGGACUCAAGCAUGAAAAUAAACAAUUGCAUAAGCUUGCACACAGUUAUGCCACAAACAUGAAGAGGAAAAUUGACCAGCUGCAGGAAAAUGAUGGUCAGAUUUUACUUGAUCACCGAAGGUUUGUGGGUUUGUUCCAACCGCAUCUGCCUUCGUCUUCUGGGGCGACACCGCGUAGUGAAGCUCCAACUGAUCAACCUCCGAUACCUCCUCCUUCCGUGGCCCCACCGACUGCUGAGACUCCGCCGACUACUGCAACUCCGCCGACUCCUCCCAAUCAGCCUUUGUGAAGGCUCCCUCUUGUAAUUUCUUGCUUAAUGUUCCCUUUUUUUUUUUUUUCAUGAAAAAGAAUGUAAGAAUAUCUUGCAUAUCUAUCAAUGUUUCAAAAAUAAACCCACACCCAAAAAUAAUUAAAUAAACAAAAAUAAAAAAAAUGACAAUCAUGGCAAAAUAAAAAUGCAGAAAAGUGAAGGUUUUUAGAAACGCAAAAACUGAUUGUAGAGCGAUUCAUAGAUCUUCCUUUUUUUGAAUACAUGGGUUGCCUCCCAAGAAGCGCUUUCUUUAAUGUCUUGCAGCCGGACGAUACUUCCUUCUAAACUUGGAUAGGGCCCAUAGCAUGGAAUUGAUCCUUGAAUGGACGGUGAUACUUGACGUGAUCCGACAAUGGUUUAAAUUCUAGUGUAGGUGCCUGAAUCAUCAAAAUCAACAAGUUAGUAUAUACUAAAAUCGAAAUUGGAGAAGAUGGCUUACUUGCUUUGUCCGACAAGAAACUCAAUGACAAACACCACAUUUUUUGAAAGUUUCAGGGAUAUUGGACUUGGCCAGAUUGAAUGUGAUGGUUGGGACUUGUCCCAUGUCAUAAAAUUCAACUUCUUUAGGAAUGGUUGUCUCAAGCACAUCCUCUUUGAUGCAUUCUAGACAUUCCCCAUCCACUUCUUUUUCUUGAUUCUUUGGAAAGGUUUCAAAGAUGCCUUUCUCACCCUCUUCUUCCUUGGAUUGCAUGAUCCUGCAAGGAAUAAAGACAUUUAGUGGAACGGGGUCAGGACGAAUUGAAUUUGGGCUUACCUUGGUUGUAGUGGACUGCAUAGAGGGCAUAUGGGGAUGCGGCAAGGGUGUUGGGGCUAGGGUAGGCUGCAGCAAUGGUGGUUCUUCCUUUGCCGUGGCCUUGUUAUCCUCCUCUUCUUCGAGCAGUAACUGUUCAUCCAUGUUUUGGCUUGGUUUGGACAUCUUGGGUUCAUCUCCAACCUCUAUGCCACUUUCCAAGUUGAUAGCUUCAAUAAUUUCAACAGUUGAGUCAGUUACUUCACUUUGUUCUUGCAUUUGCCCCAUGAAUUCCGCGAUCUCUCCCAUUUGAUUCUUCAAUUCGCUCAUCACUUGGGCUUGAUUUUGUGAUUCCUGCGUCAAAGAAGUUAGUACAUCAAGAAUUUGAGCACAAUCUAUUGACGAACCUGAAUUUGAUUGGAAUUGUUGCGGGGCAGGUUGUGGUGGCUGCAUAGGCGUUGUAUAGAACUCCUCAUAUGGCUGCCAAUAUUCUCCUUGUUGAGCCUCCUUGGCUUGAUUUUGUGAGCCCUGCGCCAAAGAAUUUAAUUCAUUAAGAAUUUGUUCAUAAUUUAUUGACGAACCUGAGUUUGGUUGGGUAUAUUGUGUAUGAGGUUGUGGUGGCUGAGCAGGGCUUGAAUAGAACUCAUUAUAUGGCUGCCAAUAUCCUUCGUGUUGAACUGGUUGAGGUUCCCACCACAUAGUGUUUGAAUGAUCCCUCCAAUCUGAAUUAUACGUGUUGGAAAACAAGUUGUUCAUUGAUUGAUUAUGAUCAUGAUAACUCUCCCAACUCCUUUGUGGAUGUUGAUCUGCUUGAUAUCCUUGCGUAUAGGACACAUCGAAUGUAGGGGUGCUUUGUAUUGUGGUCAUUUCGAUGUACUGUGACAAUUGAGAAGUAAGAAUUGCCAUUUGAGCUUGAAGAUUAGCAAUUGCCAUGUCUUACUUCUUUUAGUACCUGAUAUCAAAGAAAUAAAACUAAAUCAAAUAUCAUAAGUAAACAAAACAGGGUAAUUAUAAAAAAAAAAAUAAAUAAAAUAAAAAAUAAAAUAAAAUAAAAAAAUAAAAAUAAAUAAAAAUAAAAUAAAAUAAAAAAAAUAAAAAAAACUAAACAAUUUAAACAAGACUCAAGACAAGGGAUUAGCAACUUUGCUAAUCCCCGGCAACGGCGCCAAAAUUUGAUGCGUAAAAUAAGUUAACACACAAAAUUAAACCCUCUUUUUAUCAAAUGUAGUAAAGUAUGUAAGUAGGGAUCGUUCUAGGCCGGGGAUUAGGAGGGAUUGCUAAACACUUGAAAACUGACUUAAAAAACAUAAAAAAUAAAAUUUAAAACACUAAACUAGACUCAAAGAAUGCAAAACUAUACUUUAAAAUACUUAAACAAACAUAAAACUCAAAACAGCAACCUAAUGACUCAAAACUACCUAAAAACCACUUUCUGGGCAGUUUUGAGAACCUAACAAGAACUUGGACGAAGUUGGAUGAAAACUUGAAUAAAAACACUUAGAAACACAAAUCAAAACACUUUCUAACUAAUCUAAGACUUCAAAAUAAAGGGGGAUUUGUUUUGGACGAAAAUUGAAAACAAAACAGAAACUUGAAAACAAAACAGAUUGUAAAACGUUUUUGGAUGAAAAGGAUGGAUAAAAGGCUAGUUAGGAGGUUCUUCUCCACACAUGACACACUUGCAAACAAAAAUGAUUUUCAGUUGUUCUUUCAAUAAAUUAUGAAACUCAACACCCCAAGUUAAUUAGAUACGCUUAAAUUAACCUUCAAGUUCUCCUUAAGUUAAUGAAUUGGAUGGAAAAGCGCAUACAACAAUUCAAAGCAUUCCUCAAAGGUUCCUUACGUGAUGAGCACAAUAAAGAUACAAUCAAGAAUCAUGAAGCACAAUGAGAACUAUAAGUGUUGACGAGGCAUUCGUUACUAUGAUGAGCAUGAAACUAGUGCCAAGAAUUCAUUCAACGCGAUCGUUUUCAAGCGACCUUCACUACUUGUGAUUAUAAGAUUGUAACUAUUAGGUGAAACUCCCUCAUAAUCUAGCAUCAUAUUCAUGCAUGAAAACUAAGCGUGCACUCUCAAUCAACAUACACAAAUAAGUUAUCAAUCAAGUAGAUGAACGAAUUGAAUCCGCAACUUAUGAAAUAACAACUGAAUGUAAUCAAAUCAUAUUGCAAGCAUGUACAUGGUUUCGAAUCACCCCCCAACUAAGGGGGUUUAGUUCCUCAUUCUUGCAAUACAAAGAUACAUAAAAUUAGACAUUAAAAUCAAAGGAAAGAAAACACCUAAAAUGCUCCAACUUGGAAAGCAAGUGCAUCAAUGGAUCUCCCUUCCUCCUUGUUGCGGCAUGAAGCUUGUGGACAGAUUUUUGGGUGGAUUUAUGGUGUAGAAUGGAUGGGGAAUGAUAUGGAGGGGUUUAGGGUGAGUGUGGAAGAGUGUUUGAUGGUUGGAAGGUGGUGGAGAACUAGGCAAAGAGGGUGGAAGAAGGUGGAGUGGCUGUUAUGUUUUCUAGGCACUAGAAUGGUGUUUUUGGGGUGUUUUGCUUCCUAGGGUGUGUAUGGACGAAUUUCUGUUAUAAAAUGAUGAAUAUGGGGGAUUGUUCUUUGGCCAAGGGGUGUAAACAUGUAUUUAUAGGCCCCAAAAACCUUAGAAAAUCAGGUUAGGUUAAGGAUGAAAUGCAUGGUAAUUUGUGUGUGUGGUGUGCAAUGGUCCAAGGGUGAAAAUGAAGUGAUGAUGCAAAGUGUGAAGGGUAAAAUGGAGUGGUCUUGAAGCUAGGGAGCAUGAAUGAUUGUGUACAUUGCAUAGAGAUG
RNAcentral lists this long non-coding RNA (8332 nucleotides) under Malus domestica (apple). Its description in RNAcentral is "long non-coding RNA (MDOM_LNC002604)". The record is from RNAcentral. Lineage: Eukaryota; Viridiplantae; Streptophyta; Magnoliopsida; Rosales; Rosaceae.